GUACUUCCUUCGAAACAUUAUAUAUAUUAAAAUUGGAACGAUGCAGAGGAGAUUAGCUUGGCUCCUUCGCAAGGAUGACACGCACAAUCGUAAAGCGUUCCGCAUUCUU
Small nuclear RNA from Stegodyphus dumicola, 109 nucleotides. Lineage: Eukaryota; Metazoa; Arthropoda; Arachnida; Araneae; Eresidae. The record is from RefSeq and is a predicted model, not a curated record.